This is a transfer RNA of Guillardia theta CCMP2712, 73 nucleotides long. It matches the Rfam family "tRNA". From Rfam's summary of the family: Transfer RNA (tRNA) molecules are approximately 80 nucleotides in length. Their secondary structure includes four short double-helical elements and three loops (D, anti-codon, and T loops). The record is from Rfam. Lineage: Eukaryota; Cryptophyceae; Pyrenomonadales; Geminigeraceae.
GGGGGCGUAGCUCAAUUGGUAGAGCGCGCGCUUCGCAUGCGCGAGGCACCGGGAUCGAAACCCGGCGCUUCCA